ACGCUCGACACCUACGGGGGCAGCAGUGGGGAAUAUUGCACAAUGGGGGAAACCCUGAUGCAGCGAUGCCGCGUGAAGGAAGAAGUAUCUCGGUAUGUAAACUUCUAUCAGCAGGGAAGAAAAUGACGGUACCUGACUAAGAAGCCCCGGCUAACUACGUACCAGCAGCCGCGGUAAUCUGAGCGGGCUGGCAAGGC
Molecule: ribosomal RNA, 197 nt
Filed under: uncultured bacterium
Lineage: Bacteria
Description: partial 16S ribosomal RNA
Rfam family: Bacterial small subunit ribosomal RNA
Source: RNAcentral